Non-coding RNA from Danio rerio (zebrafish), 76 nucleotides. The record is from Rfam. Lineage: Eukaryota; Metazoa; Chordata; Actinopteri; Cypriniformes; Danionidae.
AAACAGUGAUGAACUCCUUUAUCCCGAAUCUGAGUCCAGUUUGCUGAUACCCAUCUACGGAUCUGACUACUGAGUU